This is a non-coding RNA of Salmo salar (Atlantic salmon), 201 nucleotides long. NCBI's taxonomy places the organism in Eukaryota, Metazoa, Chordata, Actinopteri, Salmoniformes, Salmonidae. The record is from RefSeq and is a predicted model, not a curated record.
UGGUACCAUGUAGUGGUUAGGUAACAGUAGGAUACAGGGUUAGUGGUUAGGUAACAGUAGGAUACAGUGUUAGAGGGUUGGUACCAUGUAGUGGUUAGGUAACAGUAGGAUACAGGGUUAGAGGGUUGGUACCAUGUAGUGGUUAGGUAACAGUAUGAUACAGGGUUAGUGGUUAGGUAACUGUAGGAUACAGUGUUAGAG